AAGUCGUAACAAGGUCUCCGUUGGUGAACCAGCGGAGGGAUCAUUACCGAGUUUCCAACUCACAACCCACUGUGAACAUACCUACGUUGCUUCGGCGGCAUCCGGCCUCGGCCGCGCCGCCGGAGACCCAAACUCUGUUUUUACAUGUAACUUCUGAGUAUUCUUGAAAUAAAUCAAAACCUUCAACAACGGAUCUCUUGGCUCUG
RNAcentral lists this unclassified non-coding RNA (206 nucleotides) under air metagenome. RNAcentral describes it as "partial contains small subunit ribosomal RNA, internal transcribed spacer 1, and 5.8S ribosomal RNA". The stretch from base 1 to 46 matches the Rfam family "Eukaryotic small subunit ribosomal RNA", at positions 1786 to 1831 of the family's 1831-position model. The record is from RNAcentral.